RNAcentral lists this ribosomal RNA (159 nucleotides) under uncultured bacterium. Its description in RNAcentral is "partial 16S ribosomal RNA". It matches the Rfam family "Bacterial small subunit ribosomal RNA", at positions 355 to 507 of the family's 1533-position model. The record is from RNAcentral.
UCGAAAAUUUUUCUCAUCGGGCGCAGCCUGAAAGGAGCGACGCCGCGUGGGGGAUGAAGGGCUUCGGUCCGUAAACCCCUGUCGUUUGUGAACAAGGCUUGCAGGUUAAUAGUUUGCAAGUUGAUAGUAACGAAAGAGGAAGGGACGGCUAACUCUGUG